CCUGCUUCCACGGCAGUGUCCUUAGACUAGGAUCAGGUGUAGCAUCUGUUCUUAUUGGUAUAAUACCUGAUCCAUCCUCAGUUUGAAGCCUUUAUAUUAAAUGGGAUUGGAAGAUGCACUAGGAGCUUGCUCCACACAUCAAACUGGCGGUGUGCUUUCUCUAAGCAUCCAAGCAGAUGCCUAGA
Molecule: small nuclear RNA, 185 nt
Organism: Phoenicopterus ruber ruber
Lineage: Eukaryota; Metazoa; Chordata; Aves; Phoenicopteriformes; Phoenicopteridae
Rfam family: U2 spliceosomal RNA
About the family: U2 is a small nuclear RNA (snRNA) component of the spliceosome (involved in pre-mRNA splicing). Complementary binding between U2 snRNA (in an area lying towards the 5' end but 3' to hairpin I) and the branchpoint sequence (BPS) of the intron results the bulging out of an unpaired adenosine, on the BPS, which initiates a nucleophilic attack at the intronic 5' splice site, thus starting the first of two transesterification reactions that mediate splicing.
Source: Rfam